This 4976-nucleotide long non-coding RNA is filed under the name Phocoena sinus (vaquita). RNAcentral's name for it is "lncRNA (ENSPSNG00000011157.1)". The stretch from base 2646 to 2720 matches the Rfam family "mir-197 microRNA precursor family". The record is from RNAcentral. Lineage: Eukaryota; Metazoa; Chordata; Mammalia; Artiodactyla; Phocoenidae.
CUGCUCCUUAAUGGCCAGUCUUCCCUAACCUUAUAAUUUCAGCCUUGCAAUAGAUUUCACCUCCUGGCAUGAAAAUUCCAAGAAUUUUUACAGUUAUUCGUAAGUGGAUCUUGAAAUGUCUUUUUCACCGUGGACAGUUUGAAUUCUAAACCUCUAGUUCAGUGUAUCAUACUGAUGGGUUGUUAUUUUUCACAAGGUGCUACAUUCUAAGAAUAGAUGGACCAAAUUUUUAAAAGCUGUUUUCUUCCCUCGUUUAUUUUUUAUUCUCUUAUGUAUUAUAUUUGUGUUUUAUUAUAUGCACAUUAUGGAGUAUUUAGGAAUAACUGCUGGUUCUUCUAAUUUAUUUGCCCACCUGUUAUUCUUAUAUCCUGGCCACUGUUCUCUGAUUUGUAGCUGUGGCUUUCUUUGGGCAUAGCUUGCCUGACCUGACUAGUUACUUUUUAUAUUUAUCCAUUUGCUUAGCAUAGUUCUGGAGUUUCCUGUUGCAGAGCUCCUUGCUGUAUUGGCAGUUACAUAUAAGGGAAAGUUAGUCUCUUAUCCAAUUAAAAACCUGUCUUUGAUUUUUUCCCCUUCUAGAUGUUCAAAAAACAAUAGCCCUCUACUCACUGAUAUUACCUGUGAAAUCUUUCAUAUGUGACACUGACUUUAAGAACAAAAUUAUCUCAGUUUCCAAGUACUGCCAGGUAAUUUUUGUGUUCCAGUUUAGACUUCAAAGUACAAAUCAGAGAUCUGACCUGGACCAGCCACAGCUCUCCGUAUAACUUUAUGGCCACCAAACACGAGAAAACCAGGCUGCUUAGAGGCCUGGAACUGAAAGUUGCUCUUACUAUGAACUAUUAGAAAGUAAAAGAUUUAAGUGAGGCGUACUGGAGAACUAAGUUCCAGGAUGGUCAAGAUCCUUGUUCCUUUACCUCUGUUUAGGUUUUAAAUCCCCAUUCCCCAGUUUUCUCAUAACCUUUUAUGAGUUACUUCUGCUGAGGAAAGCAUAUUUCAGAACAAAUCAGGGCAGGAUCGUUAUUUUCUGAUACUAUGUCAGGCCUACACCUGGCUUUACUCAAGUCUCUCAGGAAUAAGAGAUAAUAUGGAAUAUUAUGCAGCAGUAGAUACCUGAGGUGCAAGAUUAACAUACAGAUUCUCUGGCUAAACUCUACUCAAUUAAAAUGUCUGAGCCAGGUCCUGGGAAUAUGUAUUUUUAAAAUAAAUUCCUCAGGUGGUUCUGAUGCAGCUAACCUGGGCCAAUAUUUGAGGACAACUGAAUAGACCUUAUAUUAAAGAUCAACCCAAAUAGUAGACAACAUCAAAAUCACUAGUGAAUGACUAAGUUAUUUUUUAUUUGCCAUUAAGUAUAAAGCACCUACAUGACUUAAAGUGCCUUUCACCCAGAAAAUUAGUAUGAGGACUGUUUGGUCAAAGAACAUUCCUACAUUUUAGACAGAGUAUUUCGUUUUUAUAGAAAAUUAAGGCAAAACAAGAAACUUGGGGUUUCCAAACUUUUGUUUAUUUCACUCCAUUUAUUUAUUCAGUGAAAAUUGAAAGAUAUACCAAAGUAAAGAUAAAAUCCUAUGACAAAGGUAACUGUGUGAUAACAUGAAUAUUCAUUUACAGUUGGUAGAUAAAAGAGCAAAGCUAGCUAUAGAAUGAAAGUCUUCUUGAGAGGGUUUGGGAAGGGGUAGGUAAGGGGAAUGAUUGAGGAGUCAAAUAUAAUAUAAAAUCUUUGUAUGCCCAGUGGUAUAUGUUCUCCCUUCCUGAAAUCUAGUGGGAAUCAACAUGGUAGUAGAAAUAAUCAAAUAUUAGUAAACAUACUUCUGGGGUACACCAUCUCAGUGUGUUAGCGUUCACUAAGCUGUGAGAUCUUUGACAGCUGGCAUAUUAAGUUCUGUACAACCUGGUUUAUCCUGUCUUCUUACCCUCUACCCCCACCCCCCAGCCAUAUUCCUUUGGGUUAUCCAAACAUUUUUACCGAGAGGCUUGUUUAUAUGUAAGAGAAAAUCCCAGUAGACAUAACAAAUCGUAAGAAAUUACCUGUUUUUUCUUGCUUAUGUAAGAUGAAGGUCCUCAGCCUCUUAUGAGGUUGGAGAGUUGCUUGAUGUGCUGGGUUCUGGUCUUUUCCCUGCUUCCAGCUAGCUAUGAAGUCUUUCAGUCUUAUAUCCCUCAUCUAAAGACAGACUAAAUUAUUUCUUCUAGCUGUGAUAUUCUAUGAUUCUGAUCAAAUAGAAAUAACACAUUUAAAAGUGUUUUGUAAAUACUCUUUAUGAUACUCAAGAUUGUACUCCACUGCAAAAAAGGUAACCUAAGACAAUACCAACAAAUGUAUUCAUUGUAGCUGGUUGUCUUUUCUCAGCAUCACUUUUCCCAUAUUCAUUUCGAAAACCUGAAGUGAAGUUCAACUACAAAUUACCCUAUAUUUUGCGAAGCAGGGUGAAAAGGUCUUUGUUUUGCAUUUAAAUCCAGUUCUUUAUUUUCUAUUCAAACUGGUGCUUACUUUUCCAUGACCAAAGGAAAGAAAAGUUCCUGCAGUCUGCAGUAUAUCUGUUUGACCUCACAGAGAUGUCUUCAUGCGUUUACCUAGCAGGAUCACCAGAGGCUCUGGCACACUUGCAGUCCCUGGCCCAACACUGAAGUCCUGCUGGAAUCUGUGCUCCGGGGGCUGUGCCGGGUAGAGAGGGAAGUGGGAGGUAAGAGCUCUUCACCCUUCACCACCUUCUCCACCCAGCAUGGCCGGCACACUUUGGUCUACGGCACAUCUCCAAGUAUAGAGUGGUUUUUGAAUGCUGUUAUUUUUCACCUUGGGGAUGGGGCCACCCAGAUUUGGACUAUUUGGGGUACGUGAUUUUUUUUUAUCAGAGUAAGAACUGUUACAAGUAAAUGUGUCUUUUAUAGUUAUACUGAAUUUUUAGACUGAAUUUUUGUGCUGCUUUUAUUCCUCCUUUAAUUGACAGAAACAUAAAAGCACAUUUCCAAUUAUAUUUUUUCCAUUUUUUAUUGUGUUAAAAUAUACAUAACAUAAAAUUUGCCAUUUUAAUUAUUUUUAAGUGUAUAGUUCAGUAGUACUAAGUACAUUCACAUCAUUAUACAUCACCACCAUUCAUCUCCAGAACUUCUCUCAUCUUCCCAAACUGAAACCAUACCUAUUAAAUAAUAAUUCCCCAUUUCCAUUCUACUUUCUGUCUUUAUAAAUUUGACUACUUUAGGUACUUCAUAUAAGUGGAAUCAUACUGUAUUUGUCCUUUUGAGUCAAUCAUAUUUUUAUAAGAAAACAAAAGCAACUGUCAUCAGAUUUAUAUGAAAUGGAACUUAAUUUACAUUUGGCUUACUUUCAUCAAUGUCUAAUCAUGCAAUGCAAGGGAAGUGUGUUACAGUCUCUGCCCUCUAAGAACAGAAAAUUAUACCUUAAACAAAGCUAUUUAUACUUUUACUGUUUUAUGCUGAUUUCACAUUCCAUUUUGAGACCAAUUUGUAUUUAGUGUGGAGAUGAUUUUGUUAAAUAUCUAUGAUUUAGAGAUGGCAUAAUUUAAAAAUGACCAAGGAUUUGUUUGGGAAGGAGCUUAGGAGAAUGAAAAAAUUGACUUUGAUGUUAUAGUGUAUGGUGGGCUGUUGGUAUUACGGUGCAUAUAGAAAGACCACUGGCUUUCGAUUCAGAAGACCUGUUUUGGAGUUCUAGUUCUGCUACUUCCUAGCAGUGUGAUCUUGAUGAAGACUCUCCACCUCCCUUGGCCUCAGUUACUUAUCUGUAAAUUGCUAGUGGACCUGGAAUAUUUUAAGUUUCUUCUAGCUUCAUCGUUUUAAGAACUAAGAUUGCAGUAUGUAAAAAUAGGGUUGAGUAUUAGUUUCUGACCUAUCUUGUUAUGAAAAAACAAUUUCUGAUGAUAUAAAAUUCAACAAUAUAGUGUAAAUUUAAAAUGAAGCAAAAGAAGACAGAUAUAGACAGCAGAGUGAGUAUAUGGCAUAAUUUUGGUUUUAAGCUUUCUAACAGCUGUUUUAUGCAAAGAGAACUUUUCAUCCACACAAUCAAAAUGUCCAUGAGAUAAAAAUAAGCCAGUUGGGUAGGAGAAGUACCAGUGGAGUUGUCUCUAAUAGUAUGAGGUUUGGGAACCAUCUCUGGGCCUGACAAACAGUAAAGCUGCGGUAAGGAUUAAUGCCUUUUUUUUGAAGCUUAUCCAGAACAUUUGAAGUCCUCUUACCUUUACUCAGAGAACAUCCCAGUGUUGGCUAAGAGCUUCAGGAAAUUGUUUUGACUUUGUUCUGAGGAACAAGAGAAUGGAUGACCAAGGCCCGCUGUUUUUUAUUCUGUGUAGACUCACCAGAAGAGUUUUAGCUUACAAAAUAUUGUAAGAUGAAUAACCACAUCCUAACUUCAGUAAAGCAGCUGUAGAAGUGUUGCUUCUAAGUACUGCUACUUCCCCAUCCAGCCUCAAAGGUAACCUUUUUGCAAAGUGCAUAUAGGGUGGCUUGUGUGAAUUUGUUUAUAAACCAGUUAAAAGUUGGGAUGUCUACCAGAGCAAAAGAAAACUAAAAUACAGCCGUGUUUUAUUCUGCUAGAGAUUGUUCUACCAGAAGACCUGUCCCACUGGCUUUGUUUUCAUGCUAGUACUGUAGGGCAGGUUCUAUAUGAACAUUAAUAACCGAGGAGUCUGGGUUGGGCUUUUACAGUUUGGCCCAUAGCCAAUUCCUGCCUAGAGUCAAAGAUCAAGGAAAAGUGAAUAAAAGAAGCAAAUAAUCUGGCAUGAUUUGGGGGUAGGUGGGGCUACCCUACUUGAAGGUAGAAUAAAUGGGAAAAGUUACAUCUGGGCCCUGAAUAGAUAAGAUCAUAGCUAUAGCAAAGAUUCUUAACCUGGGUCUUCAGAACUCCAAAGGUAAAACUGGGUUCAGUAUGUUGGUUUCCUUUGUAAUUCUCUGAGUUUUAUUUUAUGCAUUUUUAAAUACUCUGAGAAGAGGUCCAUAGGUUUCAUCAGACUGCCAGAGGGAUCUAUGAUACC